RNAcentral lists this ribosomal RNA (377 nucleotides) under uncultured bacterium. Its description in RNAcentral is "partial 16S ribosomal RNA". It matches the Rfam family "Bacterial small subunit ribosomal RNA", at positions 338 to 732 of the family's 1533-position model. The record is from RNAcentral.
CCUACGUGAGGCAGCAGUGGGGAAUAUUUCACAAUGGGGGAAACCCUGAUGCAGCGACGCCGCGUGAGCGAAGAAGUUUUUCGGUAUGUAAAGCUCUAUCAGCAGGGAAGAAAAUGACGGUUUCUAAGCAAGAAGCACCUGCCAAAUCCGUGACAGCAGCCGCCGUAAUACGCAGGGAGCACGCGUUAACCGGAUUUACUGGGCGUAACGGUAGCGUAGGCGGCAUGGCAAGUCAGAUGUGAAGUCCUGGGGCUCAACCCCGGGACUGCAUUGGAAACUGGACGGCUGGAGUGCCUGAGAGGCAGGUGGAAUUCCGGGUGUAGGGGUGAAAUGCGUAGAUAUUAGGAGGAACACCAGUGGCGAAGGCGACCAGCUGG